AGCAGCCGCGGUAAUUCCAGCUCCAAUAGCGUAUAUUAAAGUUGUUGCAGUUAAAAAGCUCGUAGUUGAAUUUCGGGGUUAGUAGGUUGGUCAUGCCUCUGGUAUGUACUGGUCUCACUGAUUCCUCCUUCCUGAUGAGCCUUAAUGCCAUUAAUUUGGUGUUUUGGGGAAUUUGGACUGUUACUUUGAAAAAAUUAGAGUGUUUAAAGCAAGCUAACGCUUGAAUACAUUAGCAUGGAAUAAUGAAAUAGGACGUUCGAUCCUAUUUUGUUGGUUUCUAGGGUUGACGUAAUGAUUAAUAGGGAUAGUUGGGGGCAUUAGUAUUCAAUUGUCAGAGGUGAAAUUCUUGGAUUUAUUGAAGACUAACUACUGCGAAAGCAUUUGCCAAGGAUGUUUUCAUUAAUCAAGAACGAAAGUUAGGGGAUCGAAGACGAUCAGAUACCGUCGUAGUCUUAACCAUAAACUAUGCCGACUAGGGAUCAGAUGAUGUUAAUUUUUAAUGACUCAUUCGGCGCCUUAC
This 520-nucleotide ribosomal RNA is filed under the name uncultured Glomus. RNAcentral's name for it is "SSU rRNA". It matches the Rfam family "Eukaryotic small subunit ribosomal RNA", at positions 569 to 1091 of the family's 1831-position model. The record is from RNAcentral. Lineage: Eukaryota; Fungi; Glomeromycota; Glomeromycetes; Glomerales; Glomeraceae.